Molecule: long non-coding RNA, 459 nt
Organism: Diceros bicornis minor
Lineage: Eukaryota; Metazoa; Chordata; Mammalia; Perissodactyla; Rhinocerotidae
Exons: 3
Source: RefSeq, a predicted model, not a curated record
UGGGGCAUUUGGGCAUUUCUCAGGGCUGGAAGGGCUGUCUCUGGGAAGCAGGACUAGACUUGUUCUGUGGGGUCUCGAGGGAGUGGACCCAGAACCAGUGGGUGGAAGAAAAGCGGACAGAUUUCAGAACACUAGAAGGAAGGGCUCUCUAACAGGCAGAGAUGUGCAAAGGUGGACCUCCGUGUUUGGGGCAGCGAUGCGCUCCACGUUCUGUGGAUCGGCACCCUCUCCAGGACCAGGCAGAGCUCCGAGAAGCCCAGGCACCAGGUGAAGCUGGGACAGUUGUGAAUGGCUUCUCCUGGGUAGGAGACAGCCUCACAAAAGAACCUUUCUCCUUCCUCCUGGGAAAGGACACACGCCCUCUGGAUGGUCCUCUUGGUUUCAUGAUGAGCAAUAAAGCAGGAAGCUGCUUUUUAGGAGUCAAGAUUGCCAGGAUCAGGGGCUUAGCGGAAGCCAUCU